AUGGUUUGCCUUCCAAAAAGCAAGGGUGGGUUAGGAGUUCUGAACUUGAGAGUGCAGAAUGAGGCCCUCCUCACGAAAUUCCUUCAUAAGUUUUAUAACCAUCAUGAUAUUCCGUGGGUUGGCUUGAUAUGGGACUCUUAUUACCAUGAAUCUGUGCCUCAUACAACUUCUCUUUGUGGCUCAUUCUGGUGCAAGGAUGUGUUCAAGCUCUUUUCAAAAUACUGCCAGUUUGCUAAGCCUUCUCUUGGCAAUGGAAGAUCCAUAAUGUUCUGGAAUGAUACUUGGAUUUUGGAGCUUAAUGGCUCAUCCAUUAGUCAAAGCUUCCCAAGACUAUUCUCAUAUGUUCUUGAUGGGCAACUCUCUGUGGCACAAGUUUUGGGGCAUGAUCUGCUGGAAAACUUUCAUCUACCUCUGUCCACACAAGCUUUUCAGGAAUUGCAGUCUUUGCAACAGAUUUUAGUUAAUUAUCAGAUCUCCGCAAUGAAUGAUCAGUGGAUUUGGCUUUUCAAUAAGGGGUGCUAUAGACCCAAAUCAUACUAUAUUCAAGUGCAUAGUGUUGUGGUUGAUCCUUUAUUCCCAUUGAUAUGGAAGACUUCAUGUACCUUGAGAGAUAGGCUAAACACCAGGGAUAUGCUCCAGCGCAGGCAUUGGCAUGUGGAUGAUCAUACUUGUGUUCUUUGUCCUCAUUUAAUUCAUGAGGAUGUUUGGCACCUUUUCUUCUCCUGUAAUUUCAGUCAAAAUGUAUGGAAUUAUUUGCAAAUCUCAUGA
Molecule: ribosomal RNA, 768 nt
Filed under: Triticum aestivum (bread wheat)
Lineage: Eukaryota; Viridiplantae; Streptophyta; Magnoliopsida; Poales; Poaceae
Description: partial small subunit ribosomal RNA
Source: RNAcentral